UCACUUCCGCCCCGCACGCCCACCCACCCUUGGGGCAGCCAUGUCAGUGAGGACCUGGGAGACGGGGCCCUGCGACGCCAUGUUUAACUGAUGGAUUUUCUGCAAGACAGGGGAGUUGAGAUUCUGAAGGCCCUGGGGCAGACUUCCUGAGCCGAGACUCACCAUCCCCCAAGGCACAUGGCUUCUCCUUUGAUGCAGCUUCUCCUGUUCUCCCAACAAGACAGCUUUCAUAUUAAAAAUUCUCUUCUUCCUUCUAA
Non-coding RNA from Microcebus murinus (gray mouse lemur), 257 nucleotides. NCBI's taxonomy places the organism in Eukaryota, Metazoa, Chordata, Mammalia, Primates, Cheirogaleidae. The record is from RefSeq and is a predicted model, not a curated record.